Molecule: ribosomal RNA, 484 nt
Filed under: uncultured bacterium
Lineage: Bacteria
Description: partial 16S ribosomal RNA
Rfam family: Bacterial small subunit ribosomal RNA
Source: RNAcentral
AUUGAACGCUGGCGGCAGGCCUAACACAUGCAAGUCGAGCGGAUGAAGGGAGCUUGCUCCUGGAUUCAGCGGCGGACGGGUGAGUAAUGCCUAGGAAUCUGCCUGGUAGUGGGGGAUAACGUCCGGAAACGGGCGCUAAUACCGCAUACGUCCUGAGGGAGAAAGUGGGGGAUCUUCGGACCUCACGCUAUCAGAUGAGCCUAGGUCGGAUUAGCUAGUUGGUGGGGUAAAGGCCUACCAAGGCGACGAUCCGUAACUGGUCUGAGAGGAUGAUCAGUCACACUGGAACUGAGACACGGUCCAGACUCCUACGGGAGGCAGCAGUGGGGAACAUUGGACAAUGGGCGAAAGCAUGAUCCAGCCAUGCCGCGUGUGUGAAGAAGGUCUUCGGAUUGUAAAGAACUUUAAGUUGGGAGGAAGGGCAGUAAGUUAAUACCUUGCUGUUUUGACGUUACCAACAGAAUAAGCACCGGCUAACUUCGUG